Long non-coding RNA from Sinocyclocheilus rhinocerous, 381 nucleotides. RefSeq lists it as uncharacterized. The record is from RefSeq and is a predicted model, not a curated record. Lineage: Eukaryota; Metazoa; Chordata; Actinopteri; Cypriniformes; Cyprinidae. The transcript has 3 exons.
AUUCAUAAGAUUGAGGCAGGAACAUUUUGAUCUCUUCACUGGAGCUAAAAAUACAGCCUUAUAUGGUUGGAGAUUUAUUCUGGAGAAAAUGGACCUGCCCAGUAAAAUAACACCAGCACAAGCAAAGAAAAAGUGGGACAAUUAAAAAAAAAAGUAUAAAGAAUGCAAACAUCCAGGGUCAGGUGAGGGCCUGAACAACGGAAAGCCAACUGCUGAAACCUGGCCGUGGUUUGUUCUAAUGGAUGAGAUGUUGGAUCAGAGGCCUUCCAUUUCUCCCCCUGUUCUCAUUGCUUCACUGCCUGAUGACGAACCACAGCCAGGUUGCAGUUCUGUUGAGCCUACCCAGGAAGCAGAACAGCAGGAGAGGGCAGGUAUAGAGCA